RNAcentral lists this ribosomal RNA (404 nucleotides) under uncultured bacterium. Its description in RNAcentral is "bacterial SSU rRNA". It matches the Rfam family "Bacterial small subunit ribosomal RNA", at positions 29 to 416 of the family's 1533-position model. The record is from RNAcentral.
AACGAACGCUGGCGGCGUGCCUAACACAUGCAAGUCGUGCGAGAAAGUUCCUUCGGGAGCGAGUAAAGCGGCGCACGGGUGAGUAACACGUAGGUAACCUGCCCCCCAGUCUGGAACAACUAGAGGAAACUCUAGCUAAUGCCGGAUAAGACCACGGCCCCCUCGGGGGCUGCGGCCAAAGAUGGCCUCUACUUGUACGCUAUCGCUGAGGGAUGGGCCUGCGGGCCAUUAGCUUGUUGGUGAGGUAACGGCUCACCAAGGCUGUGAUGGCUAGCUGGUCUGAGAGGAUGACCAGCCACACUGGGACUGAGACACGGCCCAGACUCCUACGGGAGGCAGCAGUGGGGAAUAUUGCGCAAUGGGCGAAAGCCUGACGCAGCGACGCCGCGUGGGUGAUGAAGGCC